RNAcentral lists this ribosomal RNA (240 nucleotides) under uncultured bacterium. Its description in RNAcentral is "partial 16S ribosomal RNA". It matches the Rfam family "Bacterial small subunit ribosomal RNA", at positions 524 to 763 of the family's 1533-position model. The record is from RNAcentral.
UACGUAUGGUGCAAGCGUUAUCCGGAUUUACUGGGUGUAAAGGGAGCGCAGGCGGCGCGGCAAGUCCGGUGUGAAAGCCCGGGGCUCAACCCCGGUACUGCACUGGAAACUGUCGUGCUUGAGUGUCGGAGGGGCAGGCGGAAUUCCUGGUGUAGCGGUGAAAUGCGUAGAUAUCAGGAGGAACACCGGUGGCGAAGGCGGCCUGCUGGACGACAACUGACGCUGAGGCUCGAAAGCGUG